This 736-nucleotide long non-coding RNA is filed under the name Homo sapiens (human). RNAcentral describes it as "HSALNT0308696". Lineage: Eukaryota; Metazoa; Chordata; Mammalia; Primates; Hominidae. The record is from RNAcentral.
AAAAUGUAGACUAAAUUUAAAUACCUGUAAGCAGAGUAUACCAACCUCUCAUCUCAAUUCCCACACCAACUUAGCAACUGCAGAGGUUACUUACAUGCCUGGCUGCAGAGGCACUGGAAUUUGCUACUGUUGACCUCAGUUAUUAGGGGAAAAUUAUCAUUACCUGUUGUAGAAAGAUGCUAAGCAUAUAAGGCAGACAAGAUUCUUUCACUAUGAUGGCAGAAAAUCAAGACUUGGAGGAGACUGUUAUAUAAAGUUUCUCUAACAUUCAUUACAUUUAUCUAAGGACUCUAUCAGAUACUUUCAGUGUGGUCUCUCCUAAGUUCAUUGAAAUUCAAAAUAAUUAAUUGAAGUAAAGCCCUGCAUUUGUGCAUGCGUUCUGAGCAAUUAAGUGGAGUGAAACACAUGUAUUGCUAAUCUUGCAUGCUGUGAUUAAGAUAGAAAUGAAGACGUCCAUCAAACGAGAUUACUUCUUCAUCAACAAGGCUCAGAAAUGUUUCUACAGCUGUUUAGAUCGUUUUAAUUGUAUCAGAGCCUCUCACAUCAUGGUUUAAGUGAGGCACUAUUUCCCCCCAUUAAAAAAGAGAAUAUGAAGAUAUGAGAGUAUACUAAUCCGCAUGUGAAAGAAAUCACAAUGCAUUUAAAGGUUUCUUUACCAAUAAAAUUAGAUUAGCUAAAGAAACAAAAGGCAUUUGUGUGUUUAUGAUCUAUUUUCAUACUUAACUGCACAAACACG